This 76-nucleotide transfer RNA is filed under the name Klebsiella pneumoniae. Its description in RNAcentral is "tRNA-Arg". It matches the Rfam family "tRNA". From Rfam's summary of the family: Transfer RNA (tRNA) molecules are approximately 80 nucleotides in length. Lineage: Bacteria; Pseudomonadati; Pseudomonadota; Gammaproteobacteria; Enterobacterales; Enterobacteriaceae. The record is from RNAcentral. RNAcentral also lists the same sequence under 1 other name.
GCCCUUGUAGCCAAACUGGAUUAAGGCAGACGGCUUCUAUCCGUAAGACUUGAGGGUUCGAGUCCUUCCAAGGGCG